This 253-nucleotide ribosomal RNA is filed under the name uncultured bacterium. RNAcentral describes it as "partial 16S ribosomal RNA". It matches the Rfam family "Bacterial small subunit ribosomal RNA", at positions 524 to 776 of the family's 1533-position model. The record is from RNAcentral.
GACGGAGGGUGCAAGCGUUGUUCGGAAUUACUGGGCGUAAAGGGCGCGUAGGCGGUCUGUUAAGUUCGGUGUGAAAGCCCCCGGCUCACCUGGGGAACUGCGCCGGAAAUCGACAGACUCGAGUACCGGAGAGGGAUGCGGAAUUCCAGGUGUAGCGGUGAAAUGCGUAGAUAUCUGGAGGAACACCGGUGGCGAAGGCGGCAUCCUGGACCGGCAUUGACGCUGAGGCGCGAAAGCCAGGGGAGCAAACGGG